CCGGUAUUAGAGAACUUAAACAUAAACAAAUAGAACUGCCAACUGUGUGCGUAACCGUGACUGUCCCUUCGAAGAUCUCUCUUCGAUCGGGAACACGGUGGGGUUAAGAAUGCCGUAGGUAGGUGCUCAGGAUCACUUAGUGAUCAAGUAAAUCCCGACCGUUAGCGUAGACCACCUUNNNNNNNNNNAAAUUGCCAAUUGUGAGCGUAACCGUGACUGUCCCUUCGAAGAUCUCUCUUCGAUCGGGAAUGCGGUGGGGUUAUGAAUGCCGUAGGUAGGUGCUCAAGAUCACUUAGUGAUCAAGUAAAUCCCGACCGUUAGCGUAGACCACCUUUACUUCUACUUUGCGUAAGUUAGCCACUUAAUCAAGCAUAGGUUGCUGCAGCCUGAUACACU
This 396-nucleotide long non-coding RNA is filed under the name Hordeum vulgare. RNAcentral describes it as "long non-coding RNA (HVUL_LNC003475)". Lineage: Eukaryota; Viridiplantae; Streptophyta; Magnoliopsida; Poales; Poaceae. The record is from RNAcentral.